This 253-nucleotide ribosomal RNA is filed under the name uncultured bacterium. RNAcentral's name for it is "partial 16S ribosomal RNA". It matches the Rfam family "Bacterial small subunit ribosomal RNA", at positions 524 to 776 of the family's 1533-position model. The record is from RNAcentral.
UACGAGGGGGGCGAGCGUUGUUCGGAAUUAUUGGGCGUAAAGGGUGCGUAGGCGGUUUGGUAAGUCUGGUGUGAAAUCUAUGGGCUCAACUCAUAGUCUGCAUCGGAAACUGCCGGGCUUGAGUGUGGGAGAGGUGAGUGGAAUUCCUGGUGUAGCGGUGGAAUGCGCAGAUAUCAGGAGGAACACCGAUGGCGAAGGCAGGUCACUGGGCCGCAACUGACGCUGAGGAGCGAAAGCUAGGGGAGCAAACAGG